Molecule: ribosomal RNA, 1395 nt
Filed under: uncultured bacterium
Lineage: Bacteria
Description: bacterial SSU rRNA
Rfam family: Bacterial small subunit ribosomal RNA
Source: RNAcentral
AGAGUUUGAUCCUGGCUCAGGAUGAACGCUGGCGGCGUGCUUAACACAUGCAAGUCGAACGGGAAUUACUUUAUUGAAACUUCGGUCGAUUUAAUUUAAUUCUAGUGGCGGACGGGUGAGUAACGCGUGGGUAACCUGCCUUGUACAGGGGGAUAACAGUCAGAAAUGGCUGCUAAUACCGCAUAAGCGCACAGGACCGCAUGGUCCGGUGUGAAAAACUCCGGUGGUAUAAGAUGGACCCGCGUUGGAUUAGCUUGUUGGCAGGGUAACGGCCUACCAAGGCGACGAUCCAUAGCCGGCCUGAGAGGGUGAACGGCCACAUUGGGACUGAGACACGGCCCAGACUCCUACGGGAGGCAGCAGUGGGGAAUAUUGCACAAUGGGGGAAACCCUGAUGCAGCGACGCCGCGUGAAGGAAGAAGGCCUUCGGGUUGUAAACUUCUUUUACCAGGGGCGAAAGAAAUGACGGUACCUGGAGAAAAAGCAACGGCUAACUACGUGCCAGCAGCCGCGGUAAUACGUAGGUUGCGAGCGUUGUCCGGAUUUACUGGGUGUAAAGGGCGUGUAGGCGGAGAUGCAAGUUGGGAGUGAAAUCCAUGGGCUCAACCCAUGAACUGCUUCCAAAACUGUAUCCCUUGAGUAUCGGAGAGGCAAGCGGAAUUCCUAGUGUAGCGGUGAAAUGCGUAGAUAUUAGGAGGAACACCAGUGGCGAAGGCGGCUUGCUGGACGACAACUGACGCUGAGGCGCGAAAGCGUGGGGAGCAAACAGGAUUAGAUACCCUGGUAGUCCACGCUGUAAACGAUGAAUACUAGGUGUGGGAGGACUGACCCCUUCCGUGCCGCAGUUAACACAAUAAGUAUUCCACCUGGGGAGUACGACCGCAAGGUUGAAACUCAAAGGAAUUGACGGGGGCCCGCACAAGCAGUGGAUUAUGUGGUUUAAUUCGACGCAACGCGAAGAACCUUACCAGGACUUGACAUCCAACUAACGAAGUAGAGAUACAUUAGGUGCCCUUCGGGGAAAGUUGAGACAGGUGGUGCAUGGUUGUCGUCAGCUCGUGUCGUGAGAUGUUGGGUUAAGUCCCGCAACGAGCGCAACCCUUACCUUUAGUAGCCAGCAUUACGGAUGGGCACUCUAGAGGGACUGCCAGGGAUAACCUGGAGGAAGGUGGGGAUGACGUCAAAUCAUCAUGCCCCUUAUGAUUUGGGCUACACACGUGCUACAAUGGCGUAAACAAAGAGAAGCGAGCCAGUGAUGGGGAGCAAAUCUCAAAAAUAACGUCUCAGUUCGGAUUGUAGUCUGCAACUCGACUACAUGAAGCUGGAAUCGCUAGUAAUCGCGAAUCAGAAUGUCGCGGUGAAUACGUUCCCGGGUCUUGCACACACCGCCCGUCA